GAUAUUCUUUAUGCAUUCAAAGUAAUCUGAGAGGAAGGAUACACACACAUACCAUUGCAUGAGAUCAGUUUGAUUUCUCAUCUUAUCUGGGUAGAGCCACUGGGAAGAGAAUGGGCUUAUUCUCCUCAGUUAAUGUCCCUGUAAUUUGAAAACUGAAUGAAGAUAAAAUUGAGAUCACAGGACUGCUUUUACAAUAGAAUAUUCAAUCCUUCUGUUUGCUACAAAAGCAACCAGAACCUUGCACAUCAGAGGACUAAAGCCCUUUAUCAAUUUUAGAGAUGUUCUUCUGGUGAAUGGGAAAACCCAAUAAUUUACUAUAAAUGCAUAUUUCAGAUUCCCUAUCUUGUCUGAGAGACAUAUCUUGUUUGUGUCUCUUUCGGAAUUAUCUUACUUCUCUUGUUCUAUAAGUUAUACAGGCUUUCUAAACCCUAUUGCAACAGUAAUUCACUAAAUUCAAACUUCUACAGAUUUUCCAGCUUGCUAAGAAACUUAUUUGUAUAUAAACCUCUUCUGCCCAUCUACCCUCUCCCCUUUUCAAUAAUGUGCAGGAAGUCUUGACAAUUGACAUCCAUAAAGGAUCCAAAGAUGAUGAUCAUAUCCUGCAAUGUGACCUUUCUAUGUGAUGAAUGAGAAAAUAUUGUAGAAUGAUGCCAUAAACCAAUCUUUGCUUGAUUAAUGUUGCAUAGAAAGAAAAGGUAAAAUUUUGCGCCCCCCCAAAAAACCAAAAAAGAAAAAAGCAUAAAUAUUUAUCUACAAAAAGAAUCAUAGCCAAUAGUAUGUAAUGACUCUUUUCCUUCAGUACAUAAUUCUGUAAUACCAAACUCAAGGAAAAAUAACCAUGUAAAGAGAGAGGAAAGGGCAUAUGAGGAAAAAUUGCAAAAAUGUAGAGAAACACUAUCAGUUCAGGUCAAAGUGUAUUUCCUGAUUUUCAGGCCAAAACAAAAUAAAUAAAUAAAUAA
RNAcentral lists this unclassified non-coding RNA (959 nucleotides) under Hevea brasiliensis (rubber tree). Lineage: Eukaryota; Viridiplantae; Streptophyta; Magnoliopsida; Malpighiales; Euphorbiaceae. The record is from RNAcentral.